This 73-nucleotide transfer RNA is filed under the name Camelus bactrianus (Bactrian camel). It matches the Rfam family "tRNA". Rfam says of the family: Transfer RNA (tRNA) molecules are approximately 80 nucleotides in length. Their secondary structure includes four short double-helical elements and three loops (D, anti-codon, and T loops). Further hydrogen bonds mediate the characteristic L-shaped molecular structure. tRNAs have two regions of fundamental functional importance: the anti-codon, which is responsible for specific mRNA codon recognition, and the 3' end, to which the tRNAs corresponding amino acid is attached (by aminoacyl-tRNA synthetases). tRNAs cope with the degeneracy of the genetic code in two manners: having more than one tRNA (with a specific anti-codon) for a particular amino acid; and 'wobble' base-pairing, i.e. permitting non-standard base-pairing at the 3rd anti-codon position. RNAcentral also lists the same sequence under 2 other names. Lineage: Eukaryota; Metazoa; Chordata; Mammalia; Artiodactyla; Camelidae. The record is from Rfam by way of RNAcentral.
GAGGGUUUAGCUUAAGUGGUAGAGCACAUGCUCAGCAUGCGUGAAGUCCUGGGUUCAAUCCCCAGUACCUGCA